This 701-nucleotide ribosomal RNA is filed under the name Streptomyces sp. ME-838. RNAcentral's name for it is "bacterial SSU rRNA". It matches the Rfam family "Bacterial small subunit ribosomal RNA", at positions 62 to 778 of the family's 1533-position model. Lineage: Bacteria; Bacillati; Actinomycetota; Actinomycetes; Kitasatosporales; Streptomycetaceae. The record is from RNAcentral.
UCGAACGAUGAAGCCUUUCGGGGUGGAUUAGUGGCGAACGGGUGAGUAACACGUGGGCAAUCUGCCCUUCACUCUGGGACAAGCCCUGGAAACGGGGUCUAAUACCGGAUAAUACUUCUGCCUGCAUGGGCGGGGGUUGAAAGCUCCGGCGGUGAAGGAUGAGCCCGCGGCCUAUCAGCUUGUUGGUGAGGUAGUGGCUCACCAAGGCGACGACGGGUAGCCGGCCUGAGAGGGCGACCGGCCACACUGGGACUGAGACACGGCCCAGACUCCUACGGGAGGCAGCAGUGGGGAAUAUUGCACAAUGGGCGAAAGCCUGAUGCAGCGACGCCGCGUGAGGGAUGACGGCCUUCGGGUUGUAAACCUCUUUCAGCAGGGAAGAAGCGCAAGUGACGGUACCUGCAGAAGAAGCGCCGGCUAACUACGUGCCAGCAGCCGCGGUAAUACGUAGGGCGCAAGCGUUGUCCGGAAUUAUUGGGCGUAAAGAGCUCGUAGGCGGCUUGUCGCGUCGGUUGUGAAAGCCCGGGGCUUAACCCCGGGGUCUGCAGUCGAUACGGGCAGGCUAGAGUGUGGUAGGGGGAGAUCGGAAUUCCUGGUGUAGCGGUGAAAUGCGCAGAUAUCAGGAGGAACACCGGUGGCGAAGGCGGAUCUCUGGGCCAUUACUGACGCUGAGGAGCGAAAGCGUGGGGAGCGAACAGGAU